Ursus americanus (American black bear) is the source of this 55-nucleotide small nuclear RNA. NCBI's taxonomy places the organism in Eukaryota, Metazoa, Chordata, Mammalia, Carnivora, Ursidae. The record is from Ensembl.
GUACUUUGGCAGCACAUAUACUAAAAUUGGAACAAUACAGAAAAGAUAAGCAUGG